RNAcentral lists this ribosomal RNA (158 nucleotides) under Rhizocarpon norvegicum. Its description in RNAcentral is "5.8S ribosomal RNA". It matches the Rfam family "5.8S ribosomal RNA". From Rfam's summary of the family: 5.8S ribosomal RNA (5.8S rRNA) is a component of the large subunit of the eukaryotic ribosome. The record is from RNAcentral. Lineage: Eukaryota; Fungi; Ascomycota; Lecanoromycetes; Rhizocarpales; Rhizocarpaceae. RNAcentral also lists the same sequence under 1 other name.
AAACUUUCAACAACGGAUCUCUUGGUUCUGGCAUCGAUGAAGAACGCAGCGAAAUGCGAUAAGUAAUGUGAAUUGCAGAAUUCAGUGAAUCAUCGAAUCUUUGAACGCACAUUGCGCCCUUUGGUACUCCAAGGGGCAUGCCUGUUCGAGCGUCAUUA